GAGAAAGAUCGCUUCCAUAGUUGAUCGAACCAGAAGUAUCAUGAUGUAGGCGAUGCUCUACAACUCUCUAUCACAAUUUCAUAGUGUGGCUCAUGAGUUUAAUUCCUCUAUAAUUUGAGCAACCAGCUCGUUAACAAACAUAUAGAUAAAUUUAUUUAUGUUCAAAAUUUGUUUCAGUGGGGGCUUAUAUAAUUCUCCAAACCUGAUGGGAUGGCUUUUGUAGUUUAAGGACGGACAUUGUAAUUAACAUAAUAAUUAUUUUUUUAAAAGGAGUAUUGAUAUAAGUUGUGUUACCUGUUAAAUGCAUCUUUUAGCUGUUCCAUAUAACCCUGUGAUGACACGCUUAUUUAACACUGCCUCCUCUUGAUUUUAUUUAUAGUAGUUCUGCUCUUCGCCACUGCAGGUCCAACUGUGCCCCUUGGUUAGGAGGUUUGUAUAUAGAAUUUUAGAAGGGAAGAAACUUCAGAUGUAGAACUCUAUGGAAGGUAUCGAUUGGUGUGUAAAAUUUU
Molecule: unclassified non-coding RNA, 509 nt
Filed under: Hevea brasiliensis (rubber tree)
Lineage: Eukaryota; Viridiplantae; Streptophyta; Magnoliopsida; Malpighiales; Euphorbiaceae
Source: RNAcentral